GCGAAAGUGGCGGAAUUGGUAGACGCACUGGAUUUAGGUUCCAGCGCCGCAAGGCGUGAGAGUUCGAGUCUCUCCUU
This 77-nucleotide transfer RNA is filed under the name Sideroxydans sp. RIFOXYD2_FULL_59_7. Its description in RNAcentral is "tRNA-Leu". It matches the Rfam family "tRNA". From Rfam's summary of the family: Transfer RNA (tRNA) molecules are approximately 80 nucleotides in length. Their secondary structure includes four short double-helical elements and three loops (D, anti-codon, and T loops). Lineage: Bacteria; Pseudomonadati; Pseudomonadota; Betaproteobacteria; Nitrosomonadales; Gallionellaceae. The record is from RNAcentral.